AAGGUGUUAAUUAUUUGUUUGUAUCAGGAAAGCCUGCCAUUAUAUAACAUCCCAGAGUACAUUCCUCAAGCUACCCUUGUAAAGCUUAUGAGGUUUUCCGAGGCUAUCUCUUGAGGAUAUAACACAUGCAGAUAGUGUUUGUUGGACUACAAGGAAUAAAGACAAACCAACUCCUUCGACUUUAACUUGAUUCAAAUAGCUGCAAAAUUGUUGAUGCGGUGUUAAGUAAUACUCACUCACUGGACUUUAAAUUUAUUCAAGCUGAACCAGUUUCAUGCAAAAGGCAAUUAUGGGUUAGAGGUAGUAUUCUAAGAAUUAUCAUCAUUGUAUGUAGUGUGAAAUAGCAACUGAAAAUAACGUCACAAUGAAAAUUUCACACUUAGGAAAUGGAAUCCAACUUAACAUACAUGUUCUCUAACGUAGGGUGUCCUUUCAGAUGUACUUUACCUAUGUUCUUUUAAUGUCUGUUGCAGGCACACACAGUCAAUUCCAUAUGAGGCCACUGAACCAAGGACCUACUCAUCUCUCAAUCAGCAAAUAUCUGAGAACAACGAAUAUGAAAGAAUUCAACUGGAAACAUGUGGCAGAGCAUUUACCACUGAAAGUGAACAUCCAUAUCGGAACAUGACAGUACCAUACCAAAAGUGACCUAGGACAUGAUUGACAGUGUCAAAUUUGUUUGAACUUGGAACCCAAGAUAUACUGCACAAAGAUCAAUUUCACACUUUUGAAAUUUAGCCCUAACGACCUAACGUCUCUCUGGUUUUAAAUAUACAGAGAGAUGUCAGCUGCAACAAACAAGUGUUUUACUAUAAAGAGCUUCAUGUUUGCAAAAGCAUACAAAUUACAAUUUCAAAUUCAGUAAAAAUGCUUGACAUCAGUGCAAGAAUCGUGUGAAAUUGUCACACUAAUGAAGAUGUUAUUUAUCAAAAAAAGGUCAUUAUUGUCAUUAUUUUGUGAAACCAUUCAUUGCAUUCGAAGAAAAUAAAGAUGAGGGCUCUGGGUUGCAAACUGUUAAAGUAAAUUUAAAUGGUACUGCAACACUCUUCUUUCAUAGAAUACUCAUUCUUGCGAUUUAGACCUAUUUGUAAAGUUUGUUUUUAACUGUUUCAUACUUUUUUUUCUGUUUGUCCUUGGUAUGUAUGCUGAAAAUAUUUGAUGGUAAUACUGACACCAACUGUUUGUAAGUGGAUGACUUUGUUGAGGUUUUGGAAUAACUGACACCAUAUAUUAGCACUCUGCCUAUUUACAGACAUUUCAUCUCUUAGCUAUUAUUCACCUUACGCAUUUAAUCAUGUCUGUUUAACUGAACGUCAGAGAAUAUCCUACAAAGUAAUAUUUCCUUGAGUAUGUCUUUCGUUUCUUGUCUUAUGGAGUGGAGUCAAUUUCUGCUUAAAACAGAAUUAAAAACAUUUACAGAAUAAAUUGAAAUCCAUAAGCAUUGAAUAAACAGAUGUGUUGAAAUCCAAUAGAUAAAUUCAUCUUCACUACAGUUUUGAAAUUAUUUUAUUUUUUUUAUUAUAUAUUCUACAUACUCUUAUAUGCAUGCUAUGUUUGUGAUUCUUAAAGUGGCACCAAUAAACAGAAUGUGGAAUAGUU
This 1599-nucleotide long non-coding RNA is filed under the name Haliotis rubra (blacklip abalone). RNAcentral describes it as "uncharacterized LOC124260219". Lineage: Eukaryota; Metazoa; Mollusca; Gastropoda; Lepetellida; Haliotidae. The record is from RNAcentral.